This 253-nucleotide ribosomal RNA is filed under the name uncultured bacterium. RNAcentral describes it as "partial 16S ribosomal RNA". It matches the Rfam family "Bacterial small subunit ribosomal RNA", at positions 524 to 776 of the family's 1533-position model. The record is from RNAcentral.
UACGGGGGGAGCAAGCGUUGUUCGGAUUUACUGGGCGUAAAGGGCGCGUAGGCGGUAGCACAAGUCAGUUGUGAAAUCUCCGGGCUUAACUCGGAAAGGUCAACUGAUACUGUGCGACUAGAGUGCAGAAGGGGCAACUGGAAUUCUCGGUGUAGCGGUGAAAUGCGUAGAUAUCGAGAGGAACACCUGCGGCGAGGGCGGGUUGCUGGGCUGACACUGACGCUGAGGCGCGAAAGCCAGGGGAGCGAACGGG